AAUCCAUAGGUUAAUGAGGCGAACCGGGGGAACUGAAACAUCUAAGUACCCCGAGGAAAAGAAAUCAACCGAGAUUCCCCCAGUAGCGGCGAGCGAACGGGGAGGAGCCCAGAGCCUGAAUCAGCAUGUGUGUUAGUGGAAGCGUCUGGAAAGGCGCGCGAUACAGGGUGACAGCCCCGUACACAAAAGCGCAUGUGCUGUGAGCUCGAUGAGUAGGGCGGGACACGUGGUAUCCUGUCUGAAUAUGGGGGGACCAUCCUCCAAGGCUAAAUACUCCUGACUGACCGAUAGUGAACCAGUACCGUGAGGGAAAGGCGAAAAGAACCCCGGCGAGGGGAGUGAAAAAGAACCUGAAACCGUGUACGUACAAGCAGUGGGAGCACCCUUUGGGUGUGACUGCGUACCUUUUGUAUAAUGGGUCAGCGACUUAUAUUCUGUAGCAAGGUUAACCGAAUAGGGGAGCCGGAGGGAAACCGAGUCUUAAUUGGGCGUUAAGUUGCAGGGUAUAGACCCGAAACCCGGUGAUCUAGCCAUGGGCAGGUUGAAGGUUGGGUAACACUAACUGGAGGACCGAACCGACUAAUGUUGAAAAAUUAGCGGAUGACCUGUGGCUGGGGGUGAAAGGCCAAUCAAACCGGGAGAUAGCUGGUUCUCCCCGAAAGCUAUUUAGGUAGCGCCUCGUGAAUUCAUCUCCGGGGGUAGAGCACUGUUUCGGCUAGGGGGCCAUCCCGGCUUACCAACCCGAUGCAAACUGCGAAUACCGGAGAAUGUUAUCACGGGAGACACACGGCGGGUGCUAACGUCCGUCGUGAAGAGGGAAACAACCCAGACCGCCAGCUAAGGUCCCAAAGUCAUGGUUAAGUGGGAAACGAUGUGGGAAGGCCCAGACAGCCAGGAUGUUGGCUUAGAAGCAGCCAUCAUUUAAAGAAAGCGUAAUAGCUCACUGGUCGAGUCGGCCUGCGCGGAAGAUGUAACGGGGCUAAACCAUGCACCGAAGCUGCGGCAGCGACGCUUAUGCGUUGUUGGGUAGGGGAGCGUUCUGUAAGCCUGCGAAGGUGGCCUGUGAGGGUUGCUGGAGGUAUCAGAAGUGCGAAUGCUGACAUAAGUAACGAUAAAGCGGGUGAAAAGCCCGCUCGCCGGAAGACCAAGGGUUCCUGUCCAACGUUAAUCGGGGCAGGGUGAGUCGACCCCUAAGGCGAGGCCGAAAGGCGUAGUCGAUGGGAAACGGGUUAAUAUUCCCGUACUUGGUGUUACUGCGAAGGGGGGACGGAGAAGGCUAUGUUGGCCGGGCGACGGUUGUCCCGGUUUAAGCGUGUAGGCUGGUUUUCCAGGCAAAUCCGGAAAAUCAAGGCUGAGGCGUGAUGACGAGGCACUACGGUGCUGAAGCAACAAAUGCCCUGCUUCCAGGAAAAGCCUCUAAGCAUCAGGUAACAUCAAAUCGUACCCCAAACCGACACAGGUGGUCAGGUAGAGAAUACCAAGGCGCUUGAGAGAACUCGGGUGAAGGAACUAGGCAAAAUGGUGCCGUAACUUCGGGAGAAGGCACGCUGACACGUAGGUGAAGUGAUUUACUCACGGAGCUGAAGUCAGUCGAAGAUACCAGCUGGCUGCAACUGUUUAUUAAAAACACAGCACUGUGCAAACACGAAAGUGGACGUAUACGGUGUGACGCCUGCCCGGUGCCGGAAGGUUAAUUGAUGGGGUCAGCGCAAGCGAAGCUCCUGAUCGAAGCCCCGGUAAACGGCGGCCGUAACUAUAACGGUCCUAAGGUAGCGAAAUUCCUUGUCGGGUAAGUUCCGACCUGCACGAAUGGCGUAAUGAUGGCCAGGCUGUCUCCACCCGAGACUCAGUGAAAUUGAACUCGCUGUGAAGAUGCAGUGUACCCGCGGCAAGACGGAAAGACCCCGUGAACCUUUACUAUAGCUUGACACUGAACAUUGAGCCUUGAUGUGUAGGAUAGGUGGGAGGCUUUGAAGUGUGGACGCCAGUCUGC
Molecule: ribosomal RNA, 1993 nt
Filed under: Salmonella enterica subsp. enterica serovar Enteritidis
Lineage: Bacteria; Pseudomonadati; Pseudomonadota; Gammaproteobacteria; Enterobacterales; Enterobacteriaceae
Description: partial 23S ribosomal RNA
Rfam family: Bacterial large subunit ribosomal RNA
Source: RNAcentral